RNAcentral lists this small RNA (816 nucleotides) under Pan troglodytes (chimpanzee). RNAcentral's name for it is "processed transcript". The record is from RNAcentral. Lineage: Eukaryota; Metazoa; Chordata; Mammalia; Primates; Hominidae.
AGAUGUGACUUCCUGGCCUUAAGUUGGAGCUAUAUACAAUUCCAUGAAUGAAACAGCACUGUUUAUACCUCCUGGUCUCUGCACCCUCUGCCUUUAUUCACCUGGAAAUGAAGACACACCUCAGUUACCUUAUCUGCAGAGUCUUCUUUGACCCACUUGUCAGCCAAUUUGAAAAAGUACCAGAAGGUCCUAUCCCUCCAUCUACACCGAAGUUUGCAUAUGGAAAGGUCACUUUGGAAAAGUUAAAGACAGUGGGAGCAGCUCUGGACAUUCUGUGUCCCUCUGGGCCCAUCAAAAGCCUUUAUCCCUUGACAUUUAUCCAGGUGAAACAGCAUUAUGGGUUUGUGCUGUACCGGACAACACUUCCUCAAGAUUGCAGCAACCCAGCACCUCUCUCUUCACCCCUCAAUGGAGUCCACGAUCGAGCAUAUGUUGCUGUGGAUGGGAUCCCCCAGGGAGUCCUUGAGCGAAACAGUGUGAUCACUCUGAACAUAACAGGGAAAGCUGGAGCCACGCUGGACCUUCUGGUAGAGAACAUGGGACGUGUGAACUAUGGCGCAUAUAUCAACGAUUUUAAGGGUUUGGUUUCUAACCUGACUCUCAGUUCCAAUAUCCUCACGGACUGGACGAUCUUUCCACUGGACACUGAGGAUGCAGUGCGCAGCCACCUGGGGGGCUGGGGACACUGUGACAGUGGCCACCAUGAUGAAGCCUGGGCCCACAACUCAUCCAACUACACGCUCCCGGCCUUUUAUAUGGGGAACUUCUCCAUUCCCAGUGGGAUCCCAGACUUGCCCCAGGACACCUUUAUCCAGU